Vicugna pacos (alpaca) is the source of this 989-nucleotide non-coding RNA. The record is from RefSeq and is a predicted model, not a curated record. Lineage: Eukaryota; Metazoa; Chordata; Mammalia; Artiodactyla; Camelidae.
GGAUGGUUGUUUCCGAAUGUCCCUCCGUUUGGCUUUGUCUGGUGUCCCCCACGAUUAGGGUGCGGUUUCCUGGUGUCACGGUAGGAGCGUCAGGGACAUCGUCACGUCUUGUCAGGUGGCACGUGGUUCCCGUUGUCCCGUCGCCGGUUAGACUGGCUGCGGUCACCUGGCCGAGACGUGCCCUUUCUCCCUGUAGCUAAUGUCUUCAGGGGAGGUGCUCUGAAACCAUGUAAGUGUCCGUUUCCUCCUCAGACCUUGAACGGUUUUGGGGUCUGCUGGUGUGCUCGGCUGAACUCGUUCUCAGCAUGCUCGUUGCCAAAUUGGUGUUCCCCUAACUGCAGUCCUCCUGCGCUGCUGCUGAGGGCCUGCUGUAAGGAAACGCCUUCCUGCUCUCUGUUCACUCAGUUACUUGUUUGUGCCGCUUUAGGGCCCCUUCUCUGCCGGGCCGGGCUGGCAGCUUGUCCCCAGUCCCCUCCCUGCCGAGGGCUUGCUCAGCUCGAGCAGGUGGGGGUGGGCGGGGCCCUGGAAGGAAGCAGUGCCCUGCGGCCCCUCGGGAACCUCCCUUCCUUUGAGGUCUCAGCACAGGUUUUUUUCCAUGUGUCGUCCAUUUUUCCUGGCGGCUUGGGAGGGCACUUGGUCCGCCCUGUCUGCCAGAAGCUGGACGUAGUCAUUUCAACCAGUGACCCGGGAGGCUGUCUGUCAGUUCUCAUCGCUAUUGUGUUUGUCUUAUUUUUGAUCUGUGGCAUUAAAGAGACUCUGCUCUGUUGGGCUUGUGAUUUUAACGUUUAGAAACGCUGAAAUCUUUAGUCAGUGUUUACAUGGUUGGAGAAAUCUAACUUAAAAUUCUUCAGUAUUUUAAAGAAUAGCUUCAUUUAUAGAGCAGUUUUAGAUUUACAGGAAAACUGGGAGGCUGCUGGAGAGUUUCGUAUCCCCGUUUCCCGUAUUAACACCAUGCGUUAGCGUGGGAUGCCUGUCACAGCAGCAGCAGC